GUAUGUAAGUCUCGUCAUGUGACUUGCGAGAUUUCACGAUAUUUUGCACUUCCGGGUACAAACAAAUAUCAACAACAUUGCUUAUCUAUAUUGGGUAAUACUUGUAUGCCGGUUGGAAAGUAAAACUUACAUGGAAAAGCAAAUGAUAUGUGGAAAUUGCCAGAGUUUUUUGUUUUGUAACGAAAUGCAAAUGGUUUCAUCUUGUGAACAAGUAUCAAUGAAAGACAACUUCGUAUAAUCUUCAGAUAUUUUGACUGAGGACAGUGGUGAGAUGAAAGACGUCAGUAUCCAUUGUAAAUACACAUGCAUGCUCUGCUGUUAAAUCGUUUUGGUAUGUGAUUUCAUGGUUGGAUCUUGAGUAACUGUCAUGGCUCUUGAUUUAUUUUGGAGUGUUCACCAUCAGAUUAGAAAUCAAAUAGUGAUACCACCAGGCAUAGUUGAAAGGAAAUGUCCAUACACAGUCUUGGAGUACAUAGAAGUAGAGACAUGGCAGUCCAUUACAGAUUUUGACUGACUUAAAGCUUCUUAAAGCUCCAUUUCUUGUGUAAACUGUCUGACUGAAUGUUUGUAUUCUAAUAAAAGCUAAGGUUGAAGACACUUCAAAGAUAUAUGUCAUUGUAAAAAUGUUUAACAAAAUAUCUGUCUUUGUUAGAAAUAACUAACCUGUCUUUAUUAGAAAUAAAUAACCUGUCAUUUGUAACUUUGUAUUAACUUUAUUAUUCAAAGAUAAUUUAUCUUCUGCAAAUGGCUGCGCAAAACAGUUUCAACCAGGUAUCAUGUAGUUUCAAAACAGUUUAAGAUAAAUUUGUUAUAAAUAGACUUGUAAAUUAACAGGAUUGGUAAAAAGAUAAAUGUUCAGCAUUUAAAUGUUUCUUUCUUGAUUGAGUUUCAUUUCAUAUUAUCACCAUGAUCACUGCAAUUGUAAAAGUAAUGUAAUCUUUAACCAUUAUUUAAAUAUCAUAAAAAUCAUCUCAAAGAAAAACUUGUUUCUGAGGCAAGAUGUGUAAAAUUCCUUCUAGUUAUAGCCUUUCACUGCUCUUAGAAAAGCCAUGAUUUGCAUUGUACAUGGCAGGUAGUAAUACCAGAGUAAACAAUAUUAAUGCAAUUCAUCUGUGUUGAGUAUUCUGUAGCAAAACACUAGCUUGCUAGCCCUUGUAAGCCCAAGUCUCUCUCUUAAUUGGAGAAGACUUGCAAUUCUGCAUUCCUUGAAGAUUUUAGUAUCAGAAGGGUAAUUAUUACAUACCAUGUACUUCUUUGGGUUUCAAAUUACCUGUUUUAUAAUGUAUUGAACCUGUUGACAUUUGACCAACAGUGAAUUAUCUAUACAAUACAUGCAAAACUUAGGGUUUGCACUUGAUACAAAACAAUUACAUCACUGAUACAUUAAUAUACCAAUUGGAACUGUUUCAAAAUUGUCAAUGUUUCAAAAAACAAAAAAAACAAACAACAACACACAAUGCUUUUAACUUUUGUCCAUGUACAUAUGGGUAUGUAGUCAUUGAAGAGCUGUCAAGAACUUUUCAUCAAUAUUAUUUAGAUAGUGUCUGUUUCGAUUUCAGGACAGACAAAAUUCAAAUGACAUGCAUAGUAUUUUAUAUAGUCAAUGCUUGCAUAUUCAAGCAAUCUAGCCAUUGCUGUUAGUUAU
This is a long non-coding RNA of Ruditapes philippinarum (Manila clam), 1645 nucleotides long. RefSeq lists it as uncharacterized. Lineage: Eukaryota; Metazoa; Mollusca; Bivalvia; Venerida; Veneridae. The transcript is spliced from 3 exons. The record is from RefSeq and is a predicted model, not a curated record.